GUGCCAGCAGCCGCGGUAAUACGGAGGAUCCAAGCGUUAUCCGGAUUUAUUGGGUUUAAAGGGUGCGUAGGCGGUUUGAUAAGUUAGAGGUGAAAUACCAGGGCUCAACUCCGGAACUGCCUCUAAUACUGUUGAACUAGAGAGUAGUUGCGGUAGGCGGAAUGUAUGGUGUAGCGGUGAAAUGCUUAGAGAUCAUACAGAACACCGAUUGCGAAGGCAGCUUACCAAACUAUAUCUGACGUUGAGGCACGAAAGCGUGGGGAGCAAACAGGAUUAGAUACCCCUGUAGUCC
This 292-nucleotide ribosomal RNA is filed under the name uncultured bacterium. RNAcentral's name for it is "partial 16S ribosomal RNA". It matches the Rfam family "Bacterial small subunit ribosomal RNA", at positions 505 to 796 of the family's 1533-position model. The record is from RNAcentral.